RNAcentral lists this ribosomal RNA (253 nucleotides) under uncultured bacterium. RNAcentral's name for it is "partial 16S ribosomal RNA". It matches the Rfam family "Bacterial small subunit ribosomal RNA", at positions 524 to 776 of the family's 1533-position model. The record is from RNAcentral.
UACGGGGGGAGCAAGCGUUGUUCGGAUUUACUGGGCGUAAAGGGCGCGUAGGCGGCCUGUUAAGUCGAACGUGAAAUCCCCGGGCUCAACCCGGGAACUGCGUCCGAUACUGGCAGGCUUGAAUUCGGGAGAGGGAUGCGGAAUUCCAGGUGUAGCGGUGAAAUGCGUAGAUAUCUGGAGGAACACCGGUGGCGAAGGCGGCAUCCUGGACCGAGAUUGACGCUGAGGCGCGAAAGCCAGGGGAGCAAACGGG